Molecule: long non-coding RNA, 1085 nt
Organism: Medicago truncatula (barrel medic)
Lineage: Eukaryota; Viridiplantae; Streptophyta; Magnoliopsida; Fabales; Fabaceae
Exons: 3
Source: RefSeq, a predicted model, not a curated record
UCAGCUGUACGUUUAUUAACUUCUCAUUGGAAAGUGCUCAAACUCUUUCCAUUCCAUCUGUUACAAUGUCUCAGCGUGUUUCCAAUGCAGUAAAUAAACCAAUGGCUUAGGUUUCAAUCAGGUCUCAUACUUUUGUCAAAACAAAAAAAAACUCUCUCUCUCUCUCUCUCUCUCUCUCUCUCUCUCAUGCCAGAAACAUGCUCUCCGGAAAAAGAGAAAUAAGCCAUGGAAAUUUGCAAUCUCAAGUGGAGGCUCCCAUCGUUGCUCUCUCCGUUCAUCAACAAAGCUUCUCCCGUUGCUGAAUCUAAGACAUCCAUUAUGCUUAAUGCUCCCUUCCACCACUGUUCAGAUUUGCUAAUUUUGCGAAGUUUCUCUCAAGUGGUGCUAAAAGUCUGGUGUCGAUGCCAUUGUUGCGGUGGUUCGAGCUGCUUGCACCUAAGGUGAUUCAAUCCCAGUUGUAUAAGAUUGCUCUGGCAUAUGUAAGGAUGGGAUUUAUGGAUGUUCCGAUGGUAACAGAACUGGAAUUGAUCCCAGACACAAUGAGCUUGGAUGUAAACAAAUUCUUUGCUAUUAGGACCUACGAGCAUGGCAGUGAGGAGAACAACAUUAGUGAAAUCAAAGUUUUGCAAUAGUGUUACGAUAUUGUUUUCUGUUGCGAGGGUGGAAGUUCUGCAACGGAGGGGCUGUCUUGCUGCUGCAGUUUUUUUAUGGUCUAGAUGUGGUAUUUGGAGGCCGACUAAGAUGAUUUUUGUGUUAAAGAUCAGUCUUUAGGCUUUAGGUUUGACUGGAGAAGGUUUUUUUUUUUUUUGUUCUGCCUUAGCUGUGUUGUGUUAGUAUCUCCUCUUAAGCCUUUCUAUUUUUGCUAACGGACUUUCCAUGUUUUGGUGGCACUAUCUCCUCUUAAGCAACCAUCAAAUAUUACACUCCAAUUAGGUGCCUAUAUUUUUGUGGCACUAUCUCCAUAAUUUCAGUAGCUCUGUCAAUGCAUCUAUUGUCUGGGAUGGAAACAAAUAUUGCAUCUCGAAUUGCUGUCUUUAUUCCAUUAACGGUCUCUUUUAUGAUGAACAUAAAUCGUGUGACAUUCA